Long non-coding RNA from Melanaphis sacchari, 438 nucleotides. RefSeq lists it as uncharacterized. The record is from RefSeq and is a predicted model, not a curated record. The transcript is spliced from 3 exons. Lineage: Eukaryota; Metazoa; Arthropoda; Insecta; Hemiptera; Aphididae.
UACUAAAGGCAGCACAUUUCUUAUGUAUAACAACAAUGCCACAUAAAUCUCUUGAGUUUUCCCAGUCAAAAGAGCAUGUACUAGCGGAAAAGUCUAUUACAAAAUAUUACAGAAUAGUUUAUCAAUUUAUUAAUUAAUUAAAUAGGUGCCAUCACAUCCAGCAACACGGACCUAUUUAUACAAAACAAUGAAUUAAUGCAGUUAGCUGUGAAGAAUUCUUAUUAAAUAAACAUACAUUUUGUAAUUCUGGCAUUAUUUCCUCAAUAUUUGCUGUAUUGCAAAACAACAACCCCUCAAUGUUGCCAUUCACCAUUAGUGGACCUUGAUAAAACCUACAAAAAUAUGGCGGUUCUUGGAAUGUAUGUGCAAACUGGCUGUUAUCUUUUUCUAUCAUUAACGUGUGUAGAUGGCUCACAUUUUGAGGAGUUGGUGGAAAAC